AAAUACCCCACACUGUUUCAGACACUACUCCAGAAAUCCAAAAUUGGUCAGUGUCUCAGUACUACAGCCACGGUAAACAUUUACUGGUCCCCAACACAGUCCUUCAUUAUUUAUUCAAAAUUCAAAAAAUUAACAAACACACUUAUUUAUGUUUUUUGCAUUUAUACAUGUGUAUAUUAGACAUAAAACAUGUUAUAAAACGAGAUAUUAGCUUAACCUUUGAAGGGUUUUUUAGGUUUUUCUGGUGUUGUGUUUGUUGUGAGGUGUGUUGAGAAAGAUGAGGACUUUAUUAGGUGAAAUGUGUAGGGGUGAGGGCAUUUAAUGAGAACCCCAUCUGAGAUUGACCUUACACUGCAGGGCAGGGCUCAAUUAUGAGACUGCAACGUAGAGUUAUUACAUAAGACGUGAGAAUUAGGGCUUUGAGCUUUGCUUUAUGUGAAUUUGGAAAUAGCAGGCAAAGGGACAAAAACAACAUUCAGUAAAGUAGGACUGGUGGGGAAGAUCCGUUUGUAGCUAAGUUCAUAGGGUUUUGUUUAUGUUCUUUCUCUGUCAAUCAGAAUGGUAGGAACAAAAAACCCUACAAUUUAUGCAUUUUUCUGUGAUGCUGCAAUAUGCUAUGUAUGUGCCACCUCUAUUCAUUUGCAAUGUCCAAUUACACUCUCUGCUUAUUAAUAUCUAUUAUUGAACAUCAAAUGGACAGCCUGCAUAACCCAAUUCAAAUUCAAAUGACUUCUACAGUUAAUGCCUGUGUAUGCAUGUCCUUCUCUAAACUUCAUUUUGAAUGAUUUUCAUCUUAGUUAAGAUUAAGUUUGAAACAAAAUGAUUUACAUGAUUUAUAUUCUCUGUAGAUUGUAAAUAAAAGAAAAUGUAGUGUGCUAUUUAUAUUUCUUUAUUUUUUUAUGAGAAAUGAAUCUCAUUAAUUAAUUCUACUAAUGAUUCGAGAACUCAUAAAAAGUACCCUAAAUCUACAAAUUUUAUAUAAUCUAAAAUAAUUAGAUAAUUCAUAUAAAGGAACUUUAUUUUAAUGUAUAAUGUAUUCUCUUAACAGAAAAAUUGUUAACAAUGUACUUUUUUUAACACUAUAUUUUUUCUUUUAGUCUUUUUUAUAAACAUAAUUUUAAUAUUUUAACAUAAACAACUUAAUAUUAACACAUUUAAGAUGCGAGUCUUAUAAAUUAAGGUUCCUCGAAACAUCCCACAUAUGAGUAUACUCUUGUCUAUAGAUUUGUGAGUCAUGUAAAUUUAAGUGCUUUCUCUAAAUAUGCAACAUGUGAGUAGAUUCUCUUGUUCAUUGCAUAGAAAGUCCUAGAAUUUGUUUCUUCAAAUAAAAUAAAAUGUGUCGAAAAUAAAGGAAACAGAAACUAAAAAAAAGUUCAAAUGGGUGAAAACAAAACCUGUGAUUUCCCAGCUGGGUAAAAAAUCAGAAUGGUAGAAGAUCCCAUAAAAGUAAAUUUUAUUGGAUUGAUACACACUGUCUGAUAAAGAAUGGUUAAAAACUUGCACAGAGUAAAUUCAAUGGUCAAAAGUCAAAACUUAAAUCAUUAAUACAUCUCAACAGCUAGCUAACAGUUUUUUCUGUGGACAUGAUUAUAAAAUUAACUUUAACUAUCUUCUGACCUUGUAUUUACAUAUACCUGUUAAAAGCUUACUAAUAAGAAAGUUAUCAAAAUCUGGAUAAUAUAGUUUAAAAAACCAUGAUUAAAUUUUUUUAUAACAUCUCAACAUUACUAUACUAUUUAGUAUGUUUAUUUUUUUCAUAGUCUAUGGAAUCUAUAUAUAUAUAUGUUCUUCAUAUUUAAUCAUUUAAACAUCUUGUUUUAAGAAGAAUGUGAAUUGAGUUUUAGAAGGCCGAAUACAAUAGUAAUAAAAGUCAGAUAUUAAACUUAAACCAUAAUUAAUUAACAUGCAAAUCAGUUACAUGUUAAUCAAUUGACAUUAGAUUAUUCAAUUUGAACAAGUUUUGAGUAUAUAAUCUAUAUUCAAUGACAAAACAAUGUGAUUAACUUUCAUAAGUAUCUAAAACAGUGUAUUAUAUAAUUUUGAAACCAUAAGGGAGAAAGAUACAUAGAGGUAGCAAAAGCAAGCUAAGAAGUGAUAUGUACGAAGAUCCAAAGAAACAAAACCAUUCACCGUUUAAAAAUGAAACCAAAAUAUUUUUGCAGUUUGGUAGGAAGAGAAUGUCAGCAGAACCUGACAUCAUAAUUUAAGAGGGCAGAGUGUCCAUAUCCAAGCAGGAAUAGUGGGUUCAUUUUUUGAAUCCCAAGAAAACAAACUCUCAUUAUCCUUCCUGUCUCACCCUAGCUAGAAAGGGACAUAUCAACCCUAAUUUUACGUGCAGGUAAUCAUCAUUUAUAUUCACCGCUUCGGUGUUUGAUGCUUUUUUUUGCAAAUUUUUUUCUAUUUUAAUUUUAUUUUCAUUUAUUUAUUUUUAUCCACCUAGACGAGUUUUUUCACUAUAUAUACAGCUCCCCUCACUCUCACAUAUUUCAUGCCACUGUUCAAGCUGAGCUGAACUCACAAACACUUCUUCGGCUCAACUUCAACCACCUUUGUUCGGGUUUUCAACAUGUCUUGCGUAAUGCAGGACAAGUUCUUGAAAAUCUUUCUCAUGAUUCCUCAGAGUCAAGGUCACAGUACUCCAAGUCCAAUGAUGUGGUAGAUGUCAAGGCGGUAUCUCUCCUGAGCUUAUUCUUCUUAUGUUUUUAUUUUAUUUUUUUUAACUUUAUGAAUAAUGUUCAAGUUUUCUUGACCUUGCAAGUCCAAAAACUAUGGCUUUAGGUUAAGAUUACUUGUAACUUAUUUAUAUAAGUAUAAUAUUUAAUAAAGUAGGUAGAAUUUUGUAAAUUUGAUGCUAUCCCUCCUUAUGAGCUUGUUAACGUAUCAUUUCUUAGUUUAUUAUUUAACUUUCAGUAUUGUGAUUUUAUGGUUUGUGUAAUAAAUGUAUUCAUCUUUUCCUAAUUAGUGAAGAUAACGAAAAUGGUUCAUGCCAUCAUGUAUUUGUCUCGAAGUCUCUUUUGAGUGAAGGAAUUGAUUUCUAAUUUUCGUCUUAGAACUUACACGUCUACUGCAAUUCAUUCUUGUUAAUAAAAGCGGGUACUAAAAAUUCAAGAAAAAAUAAAAAGAAUGAAAUACAACUACUUGUGUUUGCAGCUAAAAAUAAAAAUAUGAGUAUCGGCAUAAGCUCUUAAAAAUACAAGAGUGUUAAGAAGGUAGAAUACACUUAACUUUUUGUUUACAUUAACUUUUU
This 3247-nucleotide long non-coding RNA is filed under the name Phaseolus vulgaris (common bean). Its description in RNAcentral is "long non-coding RNA (PVUL_LNC001850)". Lineage: Eukaryota; Viridiplantae; Streptophyta; Magnoliopsida; Fabales; Fabaceae. The record is from RNAcentral.